This 170-nucleotide ribosomal RNA is filed under the name Tactostoma macropus (longfin dragonfish). RNAcentral's name for it is "partial 12S ribosomal RNA". The record is from RNAcentral. Lineage: Eukaryota; Metazoa; Chordata; Actinopteri; Stomiiformes; Stomiidae.
UACCGCGGUUAUACGAGAGGCUCGAGUUGAUAGACACCGGCGUAAAGAGUGGGCAAGGACACAAACAACUAAAGCCGAACCCCCUCCCCCCGCUGUUAUACGCAACCGGAGGAAUGAAGCCCCACCACGAAAGUGGCUUUACCCCACCUGAACCCACGACAGCUAAGGAA